GUUCGGAUUGUAGUCUGCAACUCGACUACAUGAAGCUGGAAUCGCUAGUAAUCGCGAAUCAGAAUGUCGCGGUGAAUACGUUCCCGGGUCUUGUACACACCGCCCGUCACACCAUGGGAGUUGGUAACGCCCGAAGCCAGUGACCCAACUGCAAAGAGGGAGCUGUCGAAGGCGGGACCGAUAACUGGGGUGAAGUCGUAACAAGGUAUC
Molecule: ribosomal RNA, 210 nt
Filed under: uncultured bacterium
Lineage: Bacteria
Description: partial 16S ribosomal RNA
Rfam family: Bacterial small subunit ribosomal RNA
Source: RNAcentral